AGGACGAACGCUGGCGGCGUGCUUAACACAUGCAAGUCGAGCGGAAAGGCUCCUUCGGGGGUACUCGAGCGGCGAACGGGUGAGUAACACGUGAGUAAUCUGCCCUUCACUUUGGGAUAACUGCCUGAAAGGGUGGCUAAUACCGGGUAUUCUCCUUGCACCGCAUGGUGUGGGGUGGGAAGUUUUUCGGUGGGGGAUGUGCUCGCGGCCUAUCAGCUUGUUGGUGGGGUAAUGGCCUACCAAGGCUUUGACGGGUAGCCGGCCUGAGAGGGUGACCGGCCACACUGGGACUGAGACACGGCCCAGACUCCUACGGGAGGCAGCAGUGGGGAAUAUUGGACAAUGGGCGGAAGCCUGAUCCAGCAACGCCGCGUGAGGGAUGACGGCCUUCGGGUUGUAAACCCCUUUCAGCAGGGACGAAGCGAAGUGACGGUACCUGCAGAAGAAGCGCCGGCUAACUACGCGCCAGCAGCCGC
This 476-nucleotide ribosomal RNA is filed under the name uncultured bacterium. Its description in RNAcentral is "SSU rRNA". It matches the Rfam family "Bacterial small subunit ribosomal RNA", at positions 26 to 518 of the family's 1533-position model. The record is from RNAcentral.